This 624-nucleotide ribosomal RNA is filed under the name Triticum aestivum (bread wheat). RNAcentral describes it as "partial small subunit ribosomal RNA". Lineage: Eukaryota; Viridiplantae; Streptophyta; Magnoliopsida; Poales; Poaceae. The record is from RNAcentral.
AUGUUAUUCCUGAAGAAGAAUAUGCACAUCGGCACUACACUUCCUGGAGGAACCAUGUUUGCACGAGAUGGUGCACCAAAGUCUGUUCAUUUUUCCUCUACUCCUUUGGAGUCAAAGUACUUGACAACAAUCCUUUCGCAUUUCAUGAUACCUCAUGGCUCGAUGAAGGCAAAGCAGGUAGCUGACACCCUUCGUUCAUGUGGCAAACCGGUUGACAAGGAGGAGCCUCACAUGUGAUUCUCAUAUCGUGAAGCAAUGUCAAGGUUCGCCGCCAGAGAAUUAGGGGUCAGCGGCGCACGAGCAACCAUUACAAGGAUUCAUGGGAACGAGACCCCCAACUCCAUGUACGUUGUGGAACAGAUCACUCAACUGAACAAUAACGUGGUGCCAUGCCAUCCUAUGGAUUUUCCGUAUGAGGUCUUUUAUUGCCAUCGGCCGAAAGAGGUGCAGUCUUUGAGGGUGCAACUCAAGGGUUUGAAAGAUGGCAUGCUGCGCGUGACAGCAAUAGCCAUGUGUCACAUGAACACAUCUAAUUGGGACACCCAGUACUUUGAGCUAUUAGAUGGAAAGCGUGGUGAACCUGUUUGCCACUACAUGCCUACCAAUUACAUCAUGUUUUAUUAG